Lathyrus oleraceus (garden pea) is the source of this 850-nucleotide long non-coding RNA. RefSeq lists it as uncharacterized. The transcript is spliced from 5 exons. NCBI's taxonomy places the organism in Eukaryota, Viridiplantae, Streptophyta, Magnoliopsida, Fabales, Fabaceae. The record is from RefSeq and is a predicted model, not a curated record.
UUCUUGCAUAUUAAGUCAAAUUAUUAUGUCCAAUAUGUAAAGUUACAGUUCUUGCAGAUUAACGAUGUUGUUCUUGUCGAUGACAACUCUACUGAAUUUGUUUUGUGGUUGUUCCAAUGGACUAUUGAAAUACCUGUUGAUGGUCAACUAUGAUUUUUGAUUUUUUGGAGUCAUGCAUGACCUAUAUAUAUGAGUUUCUGGCCAGUAAGUACCAUUGAUCUAACUUACUGAAGUGAUGAAACGGUUUAUUAUAUCAAAGAGUUUUGUUCCCUCUCUUAUGGCAACUAGUAAGUGAUGAAAUAUUAAUACUUUUUACACAUCUCUUGGUUUUUCUCUUAACUAAUAGAAAGUUUCUACAAGUUUUAUUUUGCUUUAUACUUAAGUUUUUUCCCCAUCACUCCAUCCGUUUGGGAAGUGAAAGAAGAAGGUGAAGGCUCUGGAGUUGUUAAAGAAGAGACUGCCCAGACUGUUGUCGUCAUUGAGCAUUGGUAAAGCUGUUUCAAAAUUUUGUGCCAAGUUUCUACACCAGCAAGUGCUUAGGCAUGAAGCUUACUUAGCUGGAGAUAUAGCCACAUCUUUACAGAAAUUUUUCCUCAGGAAUCAAUACCAUUGAAGAGUAGCGAAUCUGAUGUUCUCAGGUGAAGGAAGCUCUGGAGAGUAGCGAAUCUGAUGUUGUUGUGAAGCUGAACCCUGACAAGGAUGAAUCUUUGAAGACAAAGCAUUGAAUCAUUCGAAGUAAAGCUCAUUAAUUAAUUAUAGUUAGACUAUUAGUGGAUAUUACUUUGAAUUUGUCAUAGUUGUAGUAAUUUGUAUAUUGUAAGUUUUGAAUAUGUCAUAGUUGUAUAAUAUA